This 484-nucleotide ribosomal RNA is filed under the name uncultured bacterium. RNAcentral's name for it is "partial 16S ribosomal RNA". It matches the Rfam family "Bacterial small subunit ribosomal RNA", at positions 30 to 507 of the family's 1533-position model. The record is from RNAcentral.
AUUGAACGCUGGCGGCAGGCCUAACACAUGCAAGUCGAGCGGAUGAAGGGAGCUUGCUCCUGGAUUCAGCGGCGGACGGGUGAGUAAUGCCUAGGAAUCUGCCUGGUAGUGGGGGAUAACGUCCGGAAACGGGCGCUAAUACCGCAUACGUCCUGAGGGAGAAAGUGGGGGAUCUUCGGACCUCACGCUAUCAGAUGAGCCUAGGUCGGAUUAGCUAGUUGGUGGGGUAAAGGCCUACCAAGGCGACGAUCCGUAACUGGUCUGAGAGGAUGAUCAGUCACACUGGAACUGAGACACGGUCCAGACUCCUACGGGAGGCAGCAGUGGGGAAUAUUGGACAAUGGGCGAAAGCCUGAUCCAGCCAUGCCGCGUGUGUUAAGAAGGUCUUCCGAUUGGAAAGCACUUUAAGUUGGGAGGGAGGGCAGUAAGUUAAUACCUUGCUGUUUUGACGUUACCAACAGAAUAAGCACCGGCUAACUUCGUG